AUCGGUUUGUAGCACAGACCUAUUUAUGUAAGCCAUUUAAAGUAAAGAGUUCCUAGUUAAAGCGAUAUUUUUUAGACAUCACUUCUCCGACGAAUUACCUUCUUUUGUGCCCCCAUAAGUAACUCAAGCAGACCUCAAUUGCCAUGUAGUGGCACAAAAUAAUGAAGGAAAUAUAUUUAUGUCUAAUAAAAUGACUGGUUUGGUAAAAUGGUUUGAUGCUGGUAAAGGUUUUGGUUUUAUUUCUCCUGCAGAUGGCAGCAAAGAUGUAUUUGUACAUUUCUCUGCAAUCCAGGGUAAUGACUACAAAACUCUUGAUGAAGGCCAGAACGUUGAGUUCAGCAUCGAGCAAGGCCAAAAAGGCCCUUCAGCUGUAAACGUUGUAGCACUGUAAUUCACAUUACUGUUGUUAACGUUUAGCUGUAAAUAGAUUUAGAAGCCUCGUCUUUUGACGGGGUUUUUUUU
This is a regulatory RNA element of Yersinia pestis CO92, 462 nucleotides long. It matches the Rfam family "cspA thermoregulator". The record is from Rfam. NCBI's taxonomy places the organism in Bacteria, Pseudomonadati, Pseudomonadota, Gammaproteobacteria, Enterobacterales, Yersiniaceae.